CGCCAGUCUAAAAAUAUGUGUCUUCAAACCUUUUUUAAAACGAGGAAGCGAUUGUUCUCUCCGUAAAUUAAUUGGUAGGUCAUUCCACAAUGUAGCUCCAGCUCGGUCGAAUCGUCUUUCACCGUAUGUUUUAGUGCGGACAUCUCUUGGAUUCGUUAUGAGUCCUUCAUUUUCUGACCGAAGUGUUCUAAUAGGAGCGUAUGGUACAAUCAGUUCUUUCAAAUAUUUAGGUGCUUUAUCGUGUAAUGCCUUAAAAACGUAAAGUAAAAGUUUAAAAUGUGAUCGGUAUUUCAUGGGGAGCCAAUGUAGCUGCAUCAGAACAGGUGUUAUAGAGUCAAACUUCCUUUUUCUUGUGAUAAGUCUAGCUGCUGUGUUUUGAACGCGUUGUAGUCUUGCUAUAGUGGAAGAGUUAACAUUAUAUAGCAAAGCGUUCCCAUAGUCUAAUCUGGAGGUGACAAGAGAGCAGACUAGUGUCUUACACGCAUUUUCGGUGAUAUACGAUCUAAUGUUUCCGAUGGUUCGAAUCUGGUGGUAACAUGAUUUUGAGACGGCUGUUACCUGCUGUUCCAUACUCAAGGUCUUAUCAAAGAACACUCCUAGAUUCCUAACACAGUUCGCAUCACUUAAAAUAGUGCCAUCGAAGGGUAGCUCAUACUUGGAUAACUGUUUGACUCGAUGUUUCGGAGCAAAGACGAUGAGCUCUGUUUUGUCCUGAUUUAGUUUCAGCAUAUUUGAUGUCAUCCAAUCGCUUAUCUCUGACAAACACGCUUUCAAACGGUCGGAUAGAUCGUCCCAAUCACCUUCCGGUUUAAUCACUUGAUAUGCCUGAGUGUCGUCGGCAUACGAGUGGUAAAGCAUUUUAUGUCGCCUGCAUAUUUCACCAACAGGUUUCGAGUACAUGCAGUAUAACUUUGGUCCUAGAACAGAGCCUUGAGGCACACCAUAUUGAAGACGUAGAUCGUCAGA
This 966-nucleotide long non-coding RNA is filed under the name Mytilus galloprovincialis (Mediterranean mussel). The record is from RNAcentral. Lineage: Eukaryota; Metazoa; Mollusca; Bivalvia; Mytilida; Mytilidae.